RNAcentral lists this ribosomal RNA (301 nucleotides) under uncultured bacterium. Its description in RNAcentral is "partial 16S ribosomal RNA". It matches the Rfam family "Bacterial small subunit ribosomal RNA", at positions 509 to 807 of the family's 1533-position model. The record is from RNAcentral.
CAGUCGCCGCGGUAAUACGGAGGGUGCAAGCGUUAAUCGGAAUUACUGGGCGUAAAGCGCACGCAGGCGGUUCGUUAAGUCUGCUGUGAAAUCCCCGGGCUCAACCUGGGAAUGGCAGUGGAUACUGGCUCGCUAGAGUGUGUCAGAGGAUGGUGGAAUUCCCGGUGUAGCGGUGAAAUGCGUAGAGAUCGGGAGGAACAUCAGUGGCGAAGGCGGCCAUCUGGGACAACACUGACGCUGAGGCACGAAAGCGUGGGGAGCAAACAGGAUUAGAUACCCCUGUAGUCCCUGUCUCUUAUAC